GGGUUCAAACCUAAAGAACCCAAAUAUCUAAACGGAGAAAUUCAAUACUGUUCUGGCAACAGAAUGGUGUGCACUUUUCUCUUAGUAAGACGUUGUGAUCCAUUAGGAAUAGAUUUACCGCAUGGUUUAUCGUUGGGCUACCAAUAGGCUGGCGUUGAAGUUCACCCAGUCGAAUGGCACGAUCUUUUGGUUGUGUGUAUCGACGGAUGAGCAAUGCCAUGUACUGAUGUAGCUGCCUGAUGGGUUUUAAAGGUCAUAUCAUUGAUGCUUGCAUCACCCGUCUUCACGGAUGGGUCAUAGGAUAUGUGCCCGAUCAACAACGGUUUCAUUUGGGAUACCUUUUGGACCCGUCUUGAAACACGGACCAAGGAGUCUAUCUAGUAUGCGAGUAAAUGGGAUUAACGAACUAAACCUAUUUGCGUAAAUAACUUGACUGUUUAGAUGGGAUUACGUGCACAUUGUCUGUAUAGAGUGUGCACCUCCAUCCCGGGGUAUUUUCAUCACAUAUAUGGGCAACUAUAUAUAGAAAAUAUACCAUGAGCAUACUGGACAUGACCCGAAAGAUGGUGAACUAUGCCUGAUCAGGUUGAAGUCAGGGGAAACCCUGAUGGAGGACCGAAGCAAUUCUGACGUGCAAAUCGAUUGUCAGAAUUGGGCAUAGGGGCGAAAGACCAAUCGAACCAUC
This 685-nucleotide ribosomal RNA is filed under the name Ablabesmyia monilis. Its description in RNAcentral is "partial 28S ribosomal RNA". It matches the Rfam family "Eukaryotic large subunit ribosomal RNA", at positions 386 to 944 of the family's 3401-position model. Lineage: Eukaryota; Metazoa; Arthropoda; Insecta; Diptera; Chironomidae. The record is from RNAcentral.